This 162-nucleotide small nuclear RNA is filed under the name Sorex araneus (European shrew). Its description in RNAcentral is "U1 spliceosomal RNA (ENSSARG00000014706.1)". It matches the Rfam family "U1 spliceosomal RNA". Rfam says of the family: U1 is a small nuclear RNA (snRNA) component of the spliceosome (involved in pre-mRNA splicing). The record is from RNAcentral. Lineage: Eukaryota; Metazoa; Chordata; Mammalia; Eulipotyphla; Soricidae.
AUAGUUAUCUAGCAAUGGAGAAACCAUGAGCACAAAGGUGGUGUUACUCAGGGAGAGGCCCAUCCCUUGUCAUCUGGACAUGCUAAUUCUUACGAUUUUCCCCAAAUGUGGGAAACUUGAUGGCCUAGUGUUGUAGUGGGAGGUUGUGUUUGUGCUCUCCCC